This 459-nucleotide ribosomal RNA is filed under the name uncultured bacterium. RNAcentral's name for it is "bacterial SSU rRNA". It matches the Rfam family "Bacterial small subunit ribosomal RNA", at positions 338 to 795 of the family's 1533-position model. The record is from RNAcentral.
CCUANGGGCGGCAGCAGUAGGGAAUAUUGGACAAUGGGUGCGAGCCUGAUCCAGCCAUGCCGCGUGCAGGAAGACGGCCUUCUGGGUUGUAAACUGCUUUUGCCAGGGGAUAAAAAGUCCCUGCGGGGAAAAUUGAAGGUACCUGGUGAAUAAGCCACGGCUAACUACGUGCCAGCAGCCGCGGUAAUACGUAGGUGGCAAGCGUUGUCCGGAUUUAUUGGGUUUAAAGGGUGCGUAGGCGGUCCAUUAAGUCAGUGGUGAAAUACGGCAGCUCAACUGUCGAGGUGCCAUUGAUACUGGAGGACUUGAGUACAGACGAGGUAGGCGGAAUUGACGGUGUAGCGGUGAAAUGCUUAGAUAUCGUCAAGAACACCGAUAGCGAAGGCAGCUUACUAGACUGUAACUGACGCUGAGGCACGAAAGUGUGGGGAUCAAACAGGAUUAGAUACCCCANUANUC